Molecule: long non-coding RNA, 1173 nt
Organism: Astatotilapia calliptera (eastern happy)
Lineage: Eukaryota; Metazoa; Chordata; Actinopteri; Cichliformes; Cichlidae
Source: Ensembl
CAGGUGGAUUGUUUUUGUAUUAAUCACGUCCAGGUCCUCAAAAUUCAUGUUAAAACAUUUUGUAUUAUUCAUAAAAGCAAACAGGUUAACACUAGUUUAACACAACAGACACAAAAGCUACAUGUUGAUAUUAUUCCAGGCCUGCUGCAUUGUUCACAAGCUCUUUGCUCACCUAACAGCAUAAAUGCAUGAAUUAUUUUAGUAUUUUCAUUUAAAUUAAAAUUGAAGUGACCAAGCUUCAAUAUGGCCAGGGUGGGUAAAAACGAUUCCGAAAGUUUUUUAUAAACUAGUGCAAAAAUAAAAGUACACUGCAAUAAUCAGCUCACCCAGAUGUCUUCUUUCUUUGCUCCUUUUUUUUUUUAAACCCCGGUCUUCAGUGGGUUUUCAUCCCACGGGUUCAGACAGAAACGCCGCAGGAAAGCUGGUCCAGGACCCGAGCGAAAGACUGAGGCGCGUCUACUGGCGCUUCGGCUGAAGUUGCGCUGCGGUCCAAACUCUGCUCGGCGGAAACAGAGUCAUAGUAAUACUACCAACUUACAACAUGUCAUCCUGGAGUCCUGCGUGCUGGCGGGACCGCACCGUCCGCCCGAAAAGAAAAAAAAAAACAUUUAAUUAAAAAAGAAAAGAAAAGAAAAGAAAAGAAAAACGCUCAAGGCAGCGGGAGCAGUGGAAGCGAUGCCGAAGUGGUCGAUCGCACCUUCAAAGAGAAAACUACAUAUUCUGACUGCUUACUUUUGCAGACUUUCGCCGUGAAUUAAUCCGGCGCACGGCGACUUUAUUUUCUGAGCAACAGUUCACUCACUUGUUGUUUUUUCCCAUAUCCUGCUUCUCUCUCUCUUCAGCAUCUGCCCGCUACUGCGUCCCCCCCUCAUCCUCCCUCCUUAACACCUCCAGCCACACACACAAACACACACCCAGCAUCGUCCUAUCCAGCAUGUGACCUUUUCACAAAUCAAAUGACUACAUCUGUUUAACGGUUUAAUCAAAGGUUUUACAAUAUUACUUGGUAGAUUUAAAGCAUAUUUGUUGGAUAUUCUGUGAUAGUCUUUCUUUUUUCUGCCUGACUGUAACCUUACAGAUUUUCAGGUGGCGUUAAGAGGUAUAGACACUUGUGGAGUUGUGUGAAAAGACUAAAGUCUAAGUACAAAAACGUGGGCUACAGAUGUGAGACUG